AAUGAAGUGCCUGAAAAAGGAUUAUUUUGAUAGAAUAAAUCAUGUAUGAAAAAUACCUUCAUUA
This 64-nucleotide transfer RNA is filed under the name Asbolus verrucosus. Its description in RNAcentral is "tRNA-Ile". The record is from RNAcentral. Lineage: Eukaryota; Metazoa; Arthropoda; Insecta; Coleoptera; Tenebrionidae.